AUUGAACGCUGGCGGCAGGCCUAACACAUGCAAGUCGAACGGUAACAGGAAACAGCUUGCUGUUUCGCUGACGAGUGGCGGACGGGUGAGUAAUGUCUGGGAAACUGCCUGAUGGAGGGGGAUAACUACUGGAAACGGUAGCUAAUACCGCAUAACGUCGCAAGACCAAAGAGGGGGACCUUCGGGCCUCUUGCCAUCGGAUGUGCCCAGAUGGGAUUAGCUAGUAGGUGGGGUAACGGCUCACCUAGGCGACGAUCCCUAGCUGGUCUGAGAGGAUGACCAGCCACACUGGAACUGAGACACGGUCCAGACUCCUACGGGAGGCAGCAGUGGGGAAUAUUGCACAAUGGGCGCAAGCCUGAUGCAGCCAUGCCGCGUGUAUGAAGAAGGCCUUCGGGUUGUAAAGUACUUUCGGCGGGGAGGAAGGGAGUAAAGUUAAUACCUUUGCUCAUUGACGUUACCCGAAGAAGAAGCACCGGCUAACUCCGUG
This 490-nucleotide ribosomal RNA is filed under the name uncultured bacterium. RNAcentral's name for it is "partial 16S ribosomal RNA". It matches the Rfam family "Bacterial small subunit ribosomal RNA", at positions 30 to 507 of the family's 1533-position model. The record is from RNAcentral.